RNAcentral lists this ribosomal RNA (551 nucleotides) under Klebsiella oxytoca. Its description in RNAcentral is "partial 23S ribosomal RNA". It matches the Rfam family "Bacterial large subunit ribosomal RNA", at positions 1 to 582 of the family's 2925-position model. The record is from RNAcentral. Lineage: Bacteria; Pseudomonadati; Pseudomonadota; Gammaproteobacteria; Enterobacterales; Enterobacteriaceae.
GGGUUGUGAGGUUAAGCGACUAAGCGUACACGGUGGAUGCCCUGGCAGUCAGAGGCGAUGAAGGACGUGCUAAUCUGCGAAAAGCGUCGGUAAGGUGAUAUGAACCGUUAUAACCGGCGAUGUCCGAAUGGGGAAACCCAGUGCAAUUCGUUGCACUAUCGUUUGAUGAAUACAUAGUCAAACGAGGCGAACCGGGGGAACUGAAACAUCUAAGUACCCCGAGGAAAAGAAAUCAACCGAGAUUCCCCCAGUAGCGGCGAGCGAACGGGGAGCAGCCCGGAGUCUGAAUCAGCUUGUGUGUUAGUGGAAGCGUCUGGAAAGUCGCAGGGUACAGGGUGAUACUCCCGUACACUAAAACACACAGGCUGUGAACUCGAAGAGUAGGGCGGGACACGUGGUAUCCUGUCUGAAUAUGGGGGGACCAUCCUCCAAGGCUAAAUACUCCUGACUGACCGAUAGUGAACCAGUACCGUGAGGGAAAGGCGAAAAGAACCCCGGCGAGGGGAGUGAAAAAGAACCUGAAACCGUGUACGUACAAGCAGUAGGAGCCC